GACGAACGCUGGCGGCGUGCCUGAUACAUGCAAGUAGAACGCACAGUUUAUACCGUAGCUUGCUACACCAUAGACUGUGAGUUGCGAACGGGUGAGUAACGCGUAGGUAACCUGCCUGGUAGCGGGGGAUAACUAUUGGAAACGAUAGCUAAUACCGCAUAAUAUUGAUUAUUGCAUGAUAAUUGAUUGAAAGAUGCUAUUGCAUCACUACCAGGUGGACCUGCGUUGUAUUAGCUAGUAGGUGAGGUAACGGCUCACCUAGGCGACGAUACAUAGCCGACCUGAGAGGGUGAUCGGCCACACUGGGACUGAGACACGGCCCAGACUCCUACGGGAGGCAGCAGUAGGGAAUCUUCGGCAAUGGACGAAAGUCUGACCGAGCAACGCCGCGUGAGUGAAGAAGGUUUUCGGAUCGUAAAGCUCUGUUGUAAGAGAAGAACGGGUGUGAGAGUGGAAAGUUCACACUGUGACGGUAUCUUACCAGAAAGGGACGGCUAACUACGU
Molecule: ribosomal RNA, 504 nt
Filed under: uncultured bacterium
Lineage: Bacteria
Description: partial 16S ribosomal RNA
Rfam family: Bacterial small subunit ribosomal RNA
Source: RNAcentral